This 43-nucleotide transfer RNA is filed under the name Misumenops perkinsi. RNAcentral's name for it is "tRNA-Leu". Lineage: Eukaryota; Metazoa; Arthropoda; Arachnida; Araneae; Thomisidae. The record is from RNAcentral.
UAAUUAUAAAUCUUAAUUAAAUUUUAACUUUAAUUAAUUCUUU